RNAcentral lists this ribosomal RNA (334 nucleotides) under uncultured eukaryote. RNAcentral's name for it is "partial 18S ribosomal RNA". It matches the Rfam family "Eukaryotic small subunit ribosomal RNA", at positions 1470 to 1796 of the family's 1831-position model. The record is from RNAcentral.
CCCUUAGAUGUCCGGGGCCGCACGCGCGCUACACUGAAGGAAUCAGCGUGGCUUUCUCCCUGACCCGAAAGGGUUGGGAAACCCGUUGAAUCUCCUUCGUGAUAGGGAUUGGGGCUUGAAAUUGUUCCCCAUGAACGAGGAAUUCCCAGUAAGCGCGAGUCAUAAGCUCGCGUUGAUUACGUCCCUGCCCUUUGUACACACCGCCCGUCGCUACUACCGAUUGAACGGUUUAGUGAGGGCCUCGGAUUGGUCUCGGCCCGCUCUUUACCGGGCGGCGCCGUUGGUCGAGAAGACGCUCGAACUUGAUCGUUUAGAGGAAGUAAAAGUCGUGACA